Molecule: ribosomal RNA, 161 nt
Filed under: Hordeum marinum subsp. gussoneanum
Lineage: Eukaryota; Viridiplantae; Streptophyta; Magnoliopsida; Poales; Poaceae
Description: 5.8S ribosomal RNA
Rfam family: 5.8S ribosomal RNA
About the family: 5.8S ribosomal RNA (5.8S rRNA) is a component of the large subunit of the eukaryotic ribosome.
Source: RNAcentral
ACGACUCUCGGCAACGGAUAUCUUGGCUCUCGCAUCGAUGAAGAACGUAGCGAAAUGCGAUACCUGGUGUGAAUUGCAGAAUCCCGCGAACCAUCGAGUCUUCGAACGCAAGUUGCGCCCGAGGCCACUCGGCCGAGGGCACGCCUGCCUGGGCGUCACGC